UCCCGGUCUUAUAACCUAGCUUCGGCAGCGCCCUCCCCCAAGGGCAGACCGCUGCUUUACUCUACGUUACACUGCUCCAGAUGGUCCUCCCCCGCUUAUGAACAAGACACCCACCUGGACUGAGAUCUCUGUUUCCCAGAUGAGUCUGCAAAACUUGACUUUAAACGCCACCUCCAAUUUUUCCCAAGAGUUUUAAAUUUAUUUUUAUUUUUAUUUUUUCCCCCUGAAAUGAUCCUGGUUUGCUCUCCUCCCUAAUGUGGAAAAUUGAAUCGUUGUUCUCAAUUCUUCACUCCCUUCCUAGUCCUUUAUCUUGUAAUUUUGCAGUAUCCUCUAGUGAUGCCAGCCUUGGCAAUGUGACUUGCCUUCACAAAUAGAAUGUAGAUGUAAGUGACAUUGUGGCGGUUUUGAACCUAAGCUUUAAGAGGCAGGAGAUGUUUCUGCUAGCUAGUCGUGUGCUCCUCUGGGAGCCUAUGCUUGAGAAAAACAUACCUUAUGAAGCUACUGCCCCUUCACCCUGGACCCCAUAAUGAGGACAUAAGCGAGUCCGAAAUUGACCAGAAACCCAAAUUUACCCUGACCCUGAAAAUUCCAGCCUCCAUCAGCCAAACCUCAGCCAACGUUCUGGCCUAUUCACCUCUGCUGCCACAGAUGGCAUGUCUGACUUCAAACACCUGCAGACCUUGGCCUGGAAGCUUCUCUGGCCUUGGGAGCAGAUUUGGCUUAUGAGCAGUGAAGCCAGUGGUGCCAAGGCUCAGCGCCCCCAGAGACAUCAUCCAAUCAUUGAUGGAGUGGAAUUGGUGGAAAGCUCCCCAGUUUCCUGCCCUUCAGAAUGGGCCAACUGUGAGACAUGUCCUUUACUGUCUCCCAGAAUUCUCUAGCAAGAUUAGUCUCAGUUGCCUAAAGCAGUAACUUGCUCAAUAAAAAAGGAAAAUACAUCAAAAUAUUUGCUGAUGUAUUUUCUUUUUUUAUUCAAUUUUCCUACUCCCUCCCUGGUGCUUCCUGGAAUCACCUCCCAAUAAACCACUUGCACUC
Molecule: long non-coding RNA, 1032 nt
Organism: Sapajus apella (tufted capuchin)
Lineage: Eukaryota; Metazoa; Chordata; Mammalia; Primates; Cebidae
Exons: 2
Source: RefSeq, a predicted model, not a curated record